UACGGAGGGUGCAAGCGUUGUUCGGAAUCACUGGGCGUAAAGCGCGUGUAGGCGGCCUGAUAAGUCGAGUGUGAAAGUCCGAGGCUUAACCUCGGAAGUGCAUUCGAAACUGUCAGGCUUGAGUACGGGAGAGGGAAGCGGAAUUCCUGGUGUAGAGGUGAAAUUCGUAGAUAUCAGGAGGAACACCGGUGGCGAAGGCGGCUUCCUGGACCGAUACUGACGCUGAGACGCGAAAGCGUGGGGAGCAAACAGG
Molecule: ribosomal RNA, 253 nt
Filed under: uncultured bacterium
Lineage: Bacteria
Description: partial 16S ribosomal RNA
Rfam family: Bacterial small subunit ribosomal RNA
Source: RNAcentral